GCUGGCGGCGUGCCUAACACAUGCAAGUCGAACGAGAAAGUGGAGCAAUCCAUGAGUAAAGUGGCGACCGGGUGAGUAACACGUGACUAACCUACCUCCGAGUGGGGAAUAACUCCGGGAAACCGGGGCUAAUACCGCAUAACAUCGCAAGAUCAAAGCAGCAAUGCGCUUGGAGAGGGGGUCGCGGCUGAUUAGCUAGUUGGCGGGGUAACGGCCCACCAAGGCGAAGAUCGGUAUCCGGCCUGAGAGGGCGCACGGACACACUGGAACUGAAACACGGUCCAGACUCCUACGGGAGGCAGCAGUGGGGAAUUUUGCGCAAUGGGGGAAACCCUGACGCAGCAACGCCGCGUGGAGGAUGAAGCCCUUUGGGGCGUAAACUCCUUUCGACUCGGACGAUAAUGACGGUACGAGUGGAAGAAGCACCGGCUAACUCUGUGCCAGCAGCCGCGGUAAUACAGAGGGUGCAAGCGUUGUUCGGAAUUAUUGGGCGUAAAGGGCGCGUAGGCGGUGCGGUAAGUCACCUGUGAAAUCUCCUGGCUUAACUGGGAGCCUGCAGGCGAAACUACCGUGCUG
This 576-nucleotide ribosomal RNA is filed under the name uncultured bacterium. RNAcentral describes it as "bacterial SSU rRNA". It matches the Rfam family "Bacterial small subunit ribosomal RNA", at positions 35 to 643 of the family's 1533-position model. The record is from RNAcentral.